ACGUGAUGAAAGUCACCAGGUAGCUGGUGAGAGUGAUCCCUGCUGCAGAGCAGAGCCUAGCAUGCUACAGCCCCAGAGCAGUUCCCUUGCCAGCAGCUCAGUGGCAGAAAGGUUUUCCCUGGCUUGGAAAGCAGCAUAUAGCCUGGUUUGACACAGCCCAUGGUAGCAGGCUGCUCUUGCCCCUCUUCCAAGGCUGGCAGCACUCCCCAAGGCAAUGGAGUGCAGUGGGGGGGUACAGCAGUGUCCUGUGGCUGCAGCACUCAGGUGUGCUGGGGCCCUGCACAGCCCCCUGUGCUCAUCAGCACGUGGGCUCACCUGGCUUGAAAGGCCACCUGGUUUUGUUGUAUUACUUCCACCAUGCUAUAAACCCUCUGAUCCUUGCCUGGAGCCUGGGGAAAGUGACCUGGAGUUCAAUUUCUCAUUUUCAUUGGAAGAUCUUACAGCCACUCUGAGCUCCUGCACCACUGCAAUCUGCUGUGCAGAGGCAAUGACAGUGAGUGUGCUUCAUCCCUUGGGGUUUGCUGGGGUUAGAGGCCAACUGACCAAGUGUGAGCACUUUGGGAAGCUCCCGCUGGUAGCAGAGGCUCUGCCCUUUGGCAGGAGCUGAUAACCCUUGGCCAGCUGGCUAGCACUUGCCAUUAAUACUCUGCCUGCAGUCUGGUGCAAUCUUAUCCCCAUACCAAACCAAAUACUUUUGGGAAGUGUCAUCUCUAAGUUGUUCAUCUGUUUCUGAGAAGAGGGCUUGGGAAAGAGCUGCUUAGUCAUUUAAAAAUGCUACAGUUCCACCAGCCACCUUAUCUGGGAAGUUCUCUGCCUCUUGGUUGUUUGAGAGGAGGGGUGGGGAGUGUUUUGAAACUUUGGGGGAAGUGAUGUUUGUGGUGAGUGUGCUGUUGAGGAGCCCUGAUAAAAAUCCACUGCUCACCAAGUAAAGCUGUGAAAUCAAAAUAGAAAUUAAGAGCAGAGGAUAAAUGGCUGGAGACUAGGAUUAGGAAUGAUGCAGGGGCAUGCUGCAUGGCAGAAGGGUCUGCCCCAUGUGUGAAAGGCUGCCCCAAGCAUUCUAGCUCUCUUUUGCUGUCACCUGGCCACAAAGGAAUUUGGUAACGUGGUACCUGCUGCUGCUGGGCCUCUGAGGAGAAAGCAGCUCUUGCUGUUGGUUCUGCCAUGUUCUGCCUUUCCAGCCUGGGGAAACUUAGAGCUGGUCAUAGUGGCAGCAGCAGUCACUGGUCAGCUCAUCUCUGGGAAGGGACCAUCAGCUUCAUUAAGAACUGGCUUUGUCAUGUGGUUUUGAGAUCCUUCAGAAGGAAAGGGUCUGAGGCUGAUUUUGGGAUGCAGGAGACAUUUUGUGUGGUCUUCAUGGUCACAGGCUGUGUCUUCCAGAAGGAGUGCAUGGAUGGAAGAUGCUCACUAGCUAACUGUAUUAAUCCUGCUAUGUCCUUGUUCACCAAGACCAAACUUCAUUUUCUCACAAGCUUCUCUGGGGUUCUUAUUACUGUGACAUCCAAGCACUUCACAAACAGUAACUGAAUUUUACAGCCUCUUUUAGAGAGGACAGGUGUCAACUUUGUCCAGUAUGGAUUAAAGAUAAUUUGUUAAAAAAUUA
This is a long non-coding RNA of Agelaius phoeniceus (red-winged blackbird), 1600 nucleotides long. RefSeq lists it as uncharacterized. Lineage: Eukaryota; Metazoa; Chordata; Aves; Passeriformes; Icteridae. The record is from RefSeq and is a predicted model, not a curated record.